GGAGAGGUGCCCGAGUGGUUAAAGGGGACGGACUGUAAAUCCGUUAGCUUAGCUUACGUUGGUUCGAAUCCAACCCUCUCCACCA
Molecule: transfer RNA, 85 nt
Filed under: Mesorhizobium loti
Lineage: Bacteria; Pseudomonadati; Pseudomonadota; Alphaproteobacteria; Hyphomicrobiales; Phyllobacteriaceae
Also listed under: 373 other names
Description: tRNA-Tyr
Rfam family: tRNA
About the family: Transfer RNA (tRNA) molecules are approximately 80 nucleotides in length.
Source: RNAcentral